RNAcentral lists this small nuclear RNA (141 nucleotides) under Aotus nancymaae (Ma's night monkey). RNAcentral describes it as "U4 spliceosomal RNA (ENSANAG00000009244.1)". It matches the Rfam family "U4 spliceosomal RNA". Rfam says of the family: U4 small nuclear RNA (U4 snRNA) is a component of the major U2-dependent spliceosome. The structure of U4 snRNA from yeast and human has been reported. U4 snRNA presents a k-turn RNA motif in the 5p-SL related to recognition of Snu13 protein. The record is from Rfam by way of RNAcentral. Lineage: Eukaryota; Metazoa; Chordata; Mammalia; Primates; Aotidae.
AGCCUUGCACAGUGGCAGUAUCGUAGCCAAUGAGGUUUAUCCAAGGCGUGAUUAUUGCUAAUUAAAAACUUUUCCCAAUACCCCACGGUGACAACUUGAAAUAUAGUCGGCAUUGGCAAUUUUUGACAGUCUCUAUGGAGA